GACGAACGCUGGCGGCGUGCUUAACACAUGCAAGUCGAACGGGAUCCAUGCAGUGGCAACACUGCGGAAGAUCUAGUGGCGAACGGGUGAGUAACACGUGAAGAACCUGCCCCAGACUCUGGAAUAACACUCCGAAAGGAGUGCUAAUACCGGAUACCUUCCCGAGGUCGCAUGGCCACGGGAAGAAAGAUUCAUCGGUUUGGGAGGGCUUCGCGGCCUAUCAGCUUGUUGGCGGGGUAACGGCCCACCAAGGCGUCGACGGGUAGCUGGUCUGAGAGGAUGAUCAGCCACACUGGGACUGAGACACAGCCCAGACUCCUACGGGUGGCAG
This 331-nucleotide ribosomal RNA is filed under the name uncultured Actinomycetes bacterium. RNAcentral's name for it is "bacterial SSU rRNA". It matches the Rfam family "Bacterial small subunit ribosomal RNA", at positions 28 to 351 of the family's 1533-position model. The record is from RNAcentral. Lineage: Bacteria; Bacillati; Actinomycetota; Actinomycetes.